Molecule: long non-coding RNA, 368 nt
Filed under: Phoenix dactylifera (date palm)
Lineage: Eukaryota; Viridiplantae; Streptophyta; Magnoliopsida; Arecales; Arecaceae
Description: long non-coding RNA (PDAC_LNC007955)
Source: RNAcentral
AAGCUCUAGGCAAUUACAAGUAAAGCAGUGGAAAAUUAAGCUAGAGCAAUUAUACUAUGGCUUUAGGGUGCAAUUGAUCUAAAAUUAACUUAUAGUUGUAUGAUCAAUUUUAAUCUAUGUGUAUGGUAAGAAUGGAGUGGAAGCUAAGCAAACUCUAAACAAUCACUUAUAACUCUAUAGAAAACAAAGCUAGAGAUAUUACACAAUCAAGCAUGAAUGUAAGGCAUGAAAUACAAGAGAUAAGGCAUCACAAACACAAAGAUGUAUAGUGGUUCGGUGCACCCCAGCACCUACAUCCACUCCCCAAGACCUCUUGGAAAUUUCACUAUAAUUCCUCAGAUUACAGUCGGUUGUUUUACAAGCUCACA